GUAGGGAAUAUUGCACAAUGGGCGAAAGCCUGAUGCAGCAACGCCGCGUGCGCGAUGAAGGCCUUCGGGUCGUAAAGCGCUUUUCGGGGAGAAGAGGAAGGACGGUAUCCCCGGAAGAAGGAUCGGCUAACUACGUGCCAGCAGCCGCGGUAACACGUAGGAUCCGAGCGUUAUCCGAAUUCACUGGGCGUAAAGCGCGUGCAGGCGGUACGGUAAGUUGGAUGUGAAAUCUCCUGGCUCAACUGGGAGGGGACGUUCAAUACUGUCGAACUAGAGGGCGGUAGAGGGAGGUGGAAUUCCCGGUGUAGUGGUGAAAUGCGUAGAUAUCGGGAGGAACACCAGAGGCGAAGGCGGCCUCCUGGACCGCACCUGACGCUCAGACGCGAAAGCUAGGGGAGCGAACGGGAUUAGAAACCCGAGUAGUCC
This 426-nucleotide ribosomal RNA is filed under the name uncultured bacterium. RNAcentral describes it as "bacterial SSU rRNA". It matches the Rfam family "Bacterial small subunit ribosomal RNA", at positions 354 to 796 of the family's 1533-position model. The record is from RNAcentral.